This 253-nucleotide ribosomal RNA is filed under the name uncultured bacterium. RNAcentral's name for it is "partial 16S ribosomal RNA". It matches the Rfam family "Bacterial small subunit ribosomal RNA", at positions 524 to 776 of the family's 1533-position model. The record is from RNAcentral.
UACGUAGGGUGCAAGCGUUAAUCGGAAUUACUGGGCGUAAAGCGUGCGCAGGCGGUGAUGUAAGACAGGUGUGAAAUCCCCGAGCUUAACUUGGGAAUUGCGCUUGUGACUGGCGUGCUGGAGUGUGGCAGAGGGAGGUGGAAUUCCACGUGUAGCAGUGAAAUGCGUAGAGAUGUGGAGGAACACCGAUGGCGAAGGCAGCCUCCUGGGCCAGCACUGACGCUCAUGCACGAAAGCGUGGGGAGCAAACAGG